CCUCGUGCUUCUUCUUCUUCUCCUUCUUUUUCUUCUUCUCUUCACCGUGGGCGGCGCCCUCGCCGCCGCCGACACCGGGGAUCUUCUGCUUGAUCUUGUCCACCAAGCCCUCCUUGUGUUCGCCCUCCUUGUGUUCCCCGCCGUGAUGCUGCUGCUGAUGGUGAACAUCAGUAGUGCCGACACCGGGGAUCUGCUGCUUGAUCUUGUCCACCAAGCCCUCCUUGUGUUCGCCGCCGUGAUACUGCUGCUGAUGGUGGACAUCAGUAGUGUGGUGGUCCCCACUAUGGUGCUCUCCCUUGUGCUUGUCCUCCUCCUUUUGCCCUCCUCCCAUGUGAAGGGCUUCUCCGAUCUUGUGAAUAACUCCUGACAUUUUCCCUUAAAAUGACUCUGUUCCUCUUCUUUUCUUUUCAAUGAAAAAUAGUUGUUUGCGAUCUUCUUCUGGUUGUUGUUGUUCUUGUUGGGUGAUCUUGGCUUGGUAUUUAUAGGCUCCAAAAGGAGGGACUAGAAUUAGGAUUAGAUUAUAGAUUAUUUUAAUACAUUUUAUGGCAAAUUCUGAUUUGGAAAGAUAAGAUUAUCCUUUUGGUUUUCCUUAUUUACCCUUUUGCACCCAUUACGUGUACGCGUCUUCGUGGGCUUUUUGGGUAUUUCAAUUAUAUCGCCAAUGCUAAAUCGACACGUUGCAUAUCAGCCGCGGUACUGCCGUAUGUAGUUGUCCAGAAAUCGAGUCGAUUCUCGAUCGUACAAUAAUUAAAUAAUAUUUCAUACGAAAUGAGUUUAGAUAUAUUUUGAAAAUUUAUUUUUAAUUUAAUUAUACGUGUUAUAUAUUUGUUAAUCGAAUAGAGGUCCCACGUAACAGAGUGUUUCUCUAAUCUUUCAUUGCUUUUAAUUAAUUUUACCCAAAUAAAAAAAAAAAGGAAAAUUUAGAGAGAGAGAGAGAGAUAGCGAAUUAGAAGUUGAUUGUAAUAUCGACACCUGUCAGACAAUCAAAUAUCGUUAGUUAAAAAUCAGUUGUCCAUAGUCAUGGUCAUAGAUGGCGAAAUUGAUACUUAUUUUAAAAAACAAAACAAAACAAAACGAAACGAAACUAAACUAACAGAUGUUGAAAUGCAGUUCCGUGUUAACAGUCUGUGAUGAAUCUUUAUCUUUGAGUAUACCAUUCAAGAAAUUAUCAUUCAAAAAUUUAUUUAAAGCAGCAGCAAAUCACCUUCUAAUUCCUGAAUCAAAUUAAUUCGAUUUUUUUCGAGUCGAUCAAUUCAUUAGAGAAUUAACGGGCUAAGUUAAAGUUUUGUUAGUUAUUUUUUUUUAUAUUCCUUUAGAUGAUAUGAUUGUCAUUGUCUUUCUUUCUCUGGGCAACAAUAAAUACAAGAUGUGCAAAAGCGUAGUGGAACAUAAUUCGAUUAUGGGUAAAGGGAUCAGUCCGCAUAAUGAGGAUAAAGUUUUUCUCUUUAAAAAAAUUUAACCCAAAGAAAAGGUCGUAGUUUGUAAUAGCCGACACGCAGAUAGAUCACAAAGCAUGGCGGUCCUGAUGGCAAUAACUAACUGAUAUCUUCUGCGAUGAGAGGAGAUCACGUGGUUCUGACACGUAUCGCCCCAUCAACUGAUGUUGUGGCUGCAAUCGCGGCCCAGUCUUUAGAGAGAAGAAAGAUCUGUUAUAACGGGACCUACUUUAGCAUCUAUUUACGACAAAGCCCCUAUUUACUCUACUUAGUAGUAAUAAUAGCAAGUGUCGGGCUUGGAUUCCGUGUUGCUUUAAAUAAAUAUCCGCGUAAAAAGAAAAUGCUUCUUUAAUCCCUUCCUUGUAAUUUUUCGACACGUGGAUGGUUGAAAUUAGCGUGCCGACAUCUUAGGAAUUUUAUCUUGGAGACGGGAACACUGCAGUAGGCAAUGCCAUUUUCUUCGGAUGGUGUGUGGUGACAACGCCUUGGAUUUUGACGUGCAAAGAAUUUAAAUUGAAAAAGAAAAAAAGAAAUUACCAGAAUAAGCAUAGAAGAGAUAUUUUUCUUUUUGUCCUUUUUGGAAUGGAAAAAGAGAUCAAGAGAUUGUUCCAGUAAGUAUUACACAUGUCACAGGCUUAUUCAUGCCCCAUUAUGGCAACUUUUAUGCCUCGCGGUGCCCUCGGUUCCAGCAUAAUAGCUAAGACUUCAAUUUUUCUAACAUAUUUUUGUUACAAAUAUGAACGGAGUAAAUGUAUAACUUUAAUCCUUUGAAUAAAGAAAUGGCGGUUCUCCUGCUCGUUAAUCUCACUUGAAUCCCACCCAGGCAAAAUUUCUUUAUUUUAUUUAACAACAAUUUAAAGAAAGAAACUUUUGCCAGGUUGAAUUUCAAGUGAGAUUCAUUCGUGGGAGAAGUGCCAUUUCUUUAUUCAAAAGAUUAUGGUAAUUACAACUUUCAAUUUCGACAUAAAUUAAAAUUAUAGGCUAUACAAUAAAAUUGCCCUAAAUUAGUCCUAAUCAAUUCAGAUUAUAAAUUUAGGUAUAUUUAUUAUUUUAAUAUAUUAAUGUUCUAUAUAUAUAUAUAUAUAUAUAUAUAUAUGUGUGUGUGUGUGUGUAUNNNNNNNNNNNNNNNNNNNNNNNNNNNNNNNNNNNNNNNNNNNNNNNNNNNNNNNNNNNNNNNNNNNNNNNNNNNNNNNNNNNNNNNNNNNNNNNNNNNNNNNNNNNNACAGCAGAAAAUAUUUGCUAUGGAUAAGGAGACAUGGUCCCACGUCCCACCGUCCCAAUGCAUAUUUUGUAUGUUUCCAUCUUUUCUGAAAUUUUAAUAAAUAAAGUUUUUUGACCACUUGGCCAAAGAACCUUACCCUUACACAACUUUGUGGUUGGAGUCCUGUGAUACAUGUAAGAACUUAUUUUUUUUCUUAAUUAUAAUAUUUUAGAAUAUAAUUAAGUGAAGUAGGUUUUUUUUUUAAAUAUGAGUAAAAUAGAUAUUUUUUAAAUAUUAAAGAGAGUAAAAUUUGAAUAAUAAUAUAUUAAAAUUAAUACAAACUAAUUUUAAUAAUUAUUUAAUUAUAAAUAUCAAUUAUAACAUCAUAUAAUAUCAAUUAUAAUAUCGUACAUCUCAAUUAAUUCAAUAAUAAUAAUAAUAAAUGUUUUUUGGGAUAAGUAAACAGUCGCAUGGCGACAAUAGUGGAUCUGGAUUAGAGUGAAGUGGUCCCAAGAGGCUGAGGCUGUGGCUGUGGAGUUCUAAAAGUCAAAAGCUCCACGCACUUUGUUUCAGUACCAUACACACUGAAAAAAUUUGCAUUUGCAAUGACGAAAACUUUUCACGAAAUCAAAACACCUCUAAACUAUUUUGUUAUCGAUAUUUAAUGGAGGGGUUUCCUACCUUUUUAACACUCGAUUCACGCCUUGACGCAUCUCACAGAAAACCUCAUGAUCCCAUUAAUCUUGCGUAACAUAUCUCAAAGCCAAUGCAAGUGAUCUUGUUGCCUACUUCCCUUUGACGAUUCAAAAUUGUUGAAAAUAAUUCUUUUUUUUUUUAACCUCAAGGAAGUGACAAAAUAUAAAAGAAUAUUUUCUACACAUUAAACAUCUAGAUUUUUUUUUCUUUUCUUUUUAGAGUACUUGCACAAACCGUUUCCAAGAGAGACCUUUUUUUUUUUUUUUUUUUUCCGGGCUUGGUUACUAAUUUGGUGUGAAUACUCUAUGGUGAAAAAGGAAUCACAAAGCUGUAAUCAAUUUUUUUGCAUCAUUUAGUUGUAACUUGAACAUUGGGAGGUUUAUAAAGAAUUAAAUUAAUUAUAAUGCCUCUACUAGGAAAAGUUCAGAGUAGCCCUUCACAACUUUUUAAAGGCUUAAUAAUUUUCGCUUUCUUCCUCUCAUAACAUAACAAAAAAUUAAGAGCUUUACUCGUACACGUCCUAUGGCUAUAUAGUAUUGGGUUCUCUACUUCAAUCGGCUAUCUCAAACCGAAGGUUAUUUGGACACACCAGCAGUCACGUUUGGAAACUCUCAAAUGCUUGGAUUGUAAUUCUUGUGGAUGAGAUCAUCUAAAUCUUGGGCCCAAGCCGGACAAUGGGUGGACAAAGAACCCUAAAAUACAGUAAAGCUUCUAACACCCCACUAAAACUCUUAAGAAAUCCUACCUUUUAUUUUUAUAUCUCUUUCUUUUAGAAAUUAUAGAGAAGACAUAGCAUUUUAAUUAUUUUCCCUGCCAUUGAAAAUAAAUUCUGUAAACAUAUUUUUUCAUAAUAAAAUUAUUGUUAUUAGAUAAUUUAUUUCUUCAUUGUUUCAAAAUUAUUAUAAUUUUAUCAACAAAAUUAGUUAUGUCAUAUAUUAGGAUUAAAAUUAAUUAGGAUCCAUAACUUGUAAAGACAUUUUAGUUUAAUUGAAUUCAUAUUUGUCAUUUUAUGUAAUUUUCAAUAAAAAUACGACUAUGAGUGCAAAAGUGGGAUGACAUAAUAUUAAAAGAGUGUGAAAUAAUCGGUAAUUGAAAUGGAUUGAAAUCAUAAUAGAGUAUGAAAAUCAGAAUAAAUUGUUUACUUUAGUUGUAGAAAUCAAAAUUAAAAUAAACCAUAUUAUCAUUGAUGUAUAUAUGUUUUCUUGUAAUCGAAAUGAAUUCUUAUAAGUUACUAUAAGACCCUUAUGGUGUGUUUACUAAUCAGAAAUCAGAAUGGAGUGGAAUUUGAAUAUAGAAUGGUAGGGGUAUUCGCGGAUCGGAUUUUACGGAUUGGACAUUAAUUCAUAUCCGAUCCAUAAUUUUACGGAUUAUAAAUUCUCAACACAAUCCAAAUCCAAUCUAUAUGUUUGCAGAUCGGAUGCGGAUUUGACUCAAUUCAUAUCCAAUCCACUAUUUGACGGAUUGAUUUUGGAAUUAAAAAUUUUUAAUUUUGUCCAAUCUAUGAGGUAAUUAAAUUUAAAAAUCUAAUAUAAAAAUAAUUUAUUAAAUAAAAAAUUAACGUAAAAAUAAUUUUACUACCAAUUAAAUUCAAAAUUGAACAAGAUUUAAAUAAAUUAAUUAUUUAAAUAAAACUAGAAUAAUUUAUUUAAAAUUUUUAAAUAUAACAUAUCGAAAAAAAAUUCAUUUGUUUAGAUUAAUAUAUGAAAAUUAACUAAAAUUAUGAAUUUAAAUGUUGAAAUUUGAGAGCUUGGAUGUAACAGGAAGAAAUUAAGAAACUUGAAGAACUUGAAAAGAAAGUAACAAAUUAAGCUUAACUACCUCUAAUGGUGAAGUGAAACAGUGAUGGUUUGUGCGUGCAAUGGGGUACAAAUUUGGCAUUAUAUGCCAAAAUAUUUUGUUUGGCUUUAGAAUUUUUAAUGUUUAGGAAGCUAUAUUUGUUUAUUUAAUUACUCAAAUAUUUAAUUAUUUUUUAUUUUAUGUUAUUAUUGAAUAAGAUAUAAUAUUGUGUUAAUUUAGCUAUACUUUAAUUAAUUAAUUAAUUUAUUAGUAAGUAGCAUUGCUACAUUUAUAAGUUUUAUUUUUUAUUAAAUAAAUACUUUUUUUUUUCAGAUUCACGAAUUUUUACGGAUUUACAGAAAUAAAUCCAUAUCUAAUCCAUCGACUGUGGUUUUUUAAAUUUUCAUUCCAAUCCGAUCUACCAAUCCACAAAUUAUAUUUUUACGGAUCGGACGAAUUGAGCGGAUCAAAUUGGGUUCUGAACACCCCUAGAGAAUGAGAAUCAAAAUAAAUUAUUUACUUUAGUUGUGUGAAUCGGAAUUGGAAUAAAUUGUACUGUCAUUGAUGUGUUUACUUUAUCUUGGAAUCAGAAUGAAUAAUUUCAAAUUACUAAACUGACCUUAAUUUUUUAUUGUAAUAAUAAUAGUAGUAGUAGUAGUAAUAGUAGUAAUUUUCUAUUAUUAUUAUUAUUUUCUCUCUCUUUUGUUUUUAUUUUUUUAUUUUUCUCUUCUUCUUCUCUUCCUCUUUUUUUAUUUUUCUCUAAUUCAUCGAUACUUCUUCUUCUUCUUUUUUCUUUCGUUUUUAUUUUUAAUUUUUCCCUUCUUUAUCGUUCCUUCUUCUCCGUCCAUUCUCUAUCUUCAAACUCUUUUUACUUUUUCUCUUAUUCUUCAUUACUUCUUCUCCCUUUUUUUUUUUUUUCUCUUCUUUAUUAAUUCUUCUUCUUCUGCGUCUAUUCUUCAUCUUCAAAUUAUCAAGUGAAAAAUACCCACGGUGCCUUACAAGAAGAAUUGGUUUUGUUUGCUUCAAUUAUUUUUUGUAUUUUGUACUUUUGAUUGUUUCAAAAGAGGAUAAACUUGUAAUAAUGCAAUUUAAGUAGGGAUGUUUUAGACAAUUUUGGGUAUGAGAGUCUAAUUCCCAACCCCCCACUCCCUCGUAGCAGACUCCCAUUCUUCAUUCCUAACUUGGUGUUGGACCUACUAAAAUAAAUCCCAUUCCCCUUCUUAUUUCAAGAAGCAAACACGAUUUUGAUUUCAAUUCCCCAAUCCGAAAGUAAACGCACAAAAAUUGUACCCAUAUGAGAUUGCUUAUCCUCGAGUUUUUAGAUUGAAAAAAAAAAAGGAAAAAAGAAUGGCCCCAUUAGGAAGGGAUUUUAAGUGUUAGAUAAAGCCGGUGUUAACCAUUAGAAGGUCUCCGACCUUCAACUGUAAUAUAUUAAACCCAGAUAAAUUUACAUAUAAAUCACACAAACCAACAUGCCAAUCAAAUAAAUUACAUCAACUAACAACAAUUGACACAUUAAUUUUCAUAAUACAGAGGAUGCAGAAAAUUAAAAUGUUUUAUCUUUUCUCCUUAUUUGUGAAUUGGAAAAUGAAAAUGUUAAACAUACAGAAGAGUGAAACAGGAUGGAUAUAUAUACACACACACACACACACAGCUUUGGAGUUCAAUGUCAUCGUAUUGCUCCAAGAAGAUUGGCGCCAUCAAGCUUUGCACCUUCCAGAUGCUGUUUAAUCAUCACCAUAACACCUUCAGUAGACAUUAAUACAUAAUAGAAACACAAAAUUCACAUGAUCUGAAUGUCUGGUCUAUUUUACUUACCGUAUCUCGAAGAUUUACGUGCCGUAAAUAAGCUCUUUGAAGGUUGGCACCCUUUAAAUUGGCAUUACGUAGCUUUGCACCCUGCCGCAUAAAUGUUCGAAGUUUCAACAAAUUAAAGUCUCCUGAGAAAUACAUGUCACGAAAAAGUAGGGCUGAAACUUGCAUCUAAUGUACAAGAUUCAAUCAGGGGUGCUUGUCCCACAGUGAAAGUGUAUGGGGGAAAGUGCACUUUCACAAACCAAAGGGGCAAGAUGUGAUUAUCACACGAUUACAAAAGGACUGUAGUCAAGAGAGAGAACUGAACAUGCAGCUUGUAUUGAGGCCAUGAAAAUUGAUGAAAAGCAGUAACAAGCAACCAUUUUGAAAACACUUCAUAUGGUCGAAUCAAUAAAUCAAAGCUAAAAUGAUGUUGACGAUCGAUAGCUUUUAGGUGAUAAGAGUCUUGGCACUACAGUUAAAAUUAUUAUCUAGGAGUGCACACAUUAAUAAAAAAAAACACAACCAAUAAGCAUGCACUCUUAAUCAGCAUAUAAAUUAACAAGUUAGUUGCACCUUAUGUUGUUCCACAAACAGAUUGCUCGAACAAUUCACAAUCUUACCUUCAAAUUAGCUCCUUCCAAAUUAGCUCCCUCUAGGUUGGCAUUAGUAAGAUCAGCAGUCUGAAAAGUCAAGAGGACAAACAGAUUGCAAUUUGAUUAAAAUCUCAAAGUAGCAACAUUCUGCAUGAAAGAAGAGCAGCACAAUUGGCAACAUACAUUUUAGAUUAAGAGGAUGGGAUAAAAGCAAAAUUACAAGGACAUGAAGCAAAUGAGCCAUGUUUAGUAUGGCAAUUUUGACCCAAUAAUUGUGGCAGGUCUUGGAGAUAACAUAGGCAUACACAUAAGGCAGAAGCAAAUACUGUCGCAAACUCCUAGCUAACUACAAAUGUUCCAUAUAGAAAAAAACACCUGCAAAAGUAAGGGAAAAAGCAACAGAUAAAGAACUCAAGAUGCUAGACCUGUAAGUGUGCAGAUCGCAGGUCUGCUCCACAGAAGCUGCAGUCUAUCAAGCAAGCAUCUGCAAUGAUUUAAGAUAAAUUUGAAUCCAAAUGACAUUUUACCGCAAGUAGUUCCAGCCAUUUUGGGAACAAACAAGAAAUGCUAUUUUGUAUUCAUUGUAAUUCCUUAAGCUAAAUAACAAUCAUGUGCUAUCUUAACCAAGGUACAGUUGCAAAUUCUGAAAUUGUGAUGCCAUAGGUUGUUCUUAAUCUUUUUGAACUGAAUAUUGAAAAAAUAUUCCUUCAAUCAUAAAUGUUAAAUAAUUAAAAGAACUGUGAGGGGGGNNNNNNNNNNNNNNNNNNNNNNNNNNNNNNNNNNNNNNNNNNNNNNNNNNNNNNNNNNNNNNNNNNNNNNNNNNNNNNNNNNNNNNNNNNNNNNNNNNNNNNNNNNNNNNNNNNGGGGGGGGGGGGGGGGGAAUGAAUAAGCGGAUGCAUACAGAAAAUUAUGGAAAAUCUGUUAUGGAAAUAAUAUGAAAAUGGGUAUGCAUAACUACAUACUGAAUCUUGACUAAUUUCAAUUUAAUUCAGAUAAGAAAUUCCAGUAUGGGAAUUGCCUUGUAAAUUUGCACUCUGAAGAUUUGCACCAGCUAGUAAAGCUCCACGAAGGUUUGCCCCAGCAAAUUCACAUCUUCCCUAGGCAAGAUAAAACCCUUAAAAGGCAAUUUUGAAAAAUACAUAUAAUUGGGAGAAUAUCCAGUAUUGCUUUGACUCUCUUACUCACGCAAAGUUGCAUUGUGAAAAAUGGAACCCUCAGCAUCCACAUCCUGUAUCAAGAACAGACAGAUUCAGUAUGAUUAAUAUAACUGGUUGCUGGAAGACAGGACAAAAUCGCAUCUUGUCACUGUCAACUUGCAUGUUAAGAAUUAAACACGAAAACUGCAUGCUGUCCAAUUAUAAGAAACCUAUAAAAUUCAAAUCAACAUCAAUACUGGCUUAAGGAAGAUAUAAAAAUAAAAAUUAUACCAACCCGAAAUUUCGCAGAUUGAAGAUUUGCACGUGAGAAGAAAACAUUUCUAAGACACGCAUAGCUGAAGUCCACAAGUGAAAGAUCCUGGCCAUUUUAAUAAGAUAGCAUCAGAGGAAACAAUAUCUAAUGAAUAUAUAAUGUUCUUUCUUGCUUAUCUGAGAAUACUAAUGAGAUUAUCAAAAAAACUCUAAGCUACUGCUAAGAAGUCUUGUGUUACAUGAGUAUGAAUUGAGGAGGUAAAGAAGACCCUUCUCCAAUAAGUUACCAUAGAAGCCACAUAAAACCCUAAAGCAGUUACAAACUUACAAUGACCAGAAUAAACCACCCCAACUAUCUAUUGGCAAGUAAAAUCACUUCUCUGGAUUUCUGAAAACUAGCAAAACAAAUGCAUAAAUUGGCAAAUUCGAUGAUUUCCUCUGAAAACCAAAUUAUAGCAGACAUAAAACUUGGAAGUAUUCAUAGAAUAAAAAUCUUUCAAGCACCUCAAUUCAGUAAUUAUUACCAGCUUAGAAAGAUCAAGGCCAGAAAGAUUAAGUCCUCGAAAUCUGACUUUUUCAGACUGUAUACACUUGAUGAUAUCAAUGCGUGUUAGCUCAGUAUCUAACUCAUUAUCUUCCUUUCUCUUAUUUAUGACAGCAUGGAUUCUCUCAAUUAGUCCCUGAAAUGAAACACAUUAGAUGCAAACUAUUAUUUGAAAAAAGAAAUACAUUUUAUCCACUAACACACAUGGAUUUCAACAGCAAUCAUACAAUAAUUGAGGAAGGACGGUCAUAUCAGACUCAUCUGCCAAGAUUCAAUAAGCACAUCAAACUUGUUUACAUGUAAUUUCCACAUUCCACGUGAAUUUAUAAGGUCUGCCUAAGCAAACCAAAGAAGGCUACACUCAGUACUGUGUGUAUACUGCCUUACCUUUGCUGUUCCCCAGAUACCGUCCUGCAAUCCAGAUACUUAGCUGUGAAGUUUCAAGCCAGCGAAACCAUUUUAAAAGUACACAUGGACACAGAUACCAUUAUCUGAAUCAUCUUCGAUAACAAAUUAAAAUGCCCUAGCGUUCAAAAAACUUAGGAUCUCUUUAAGUGAAGUUCCUUUAAAAAAGUAGAAAAAAACUGAACAACAAUGUCAUGCUAAUAAAAGGUAAAAAAAAUAAAAUAAAAUAAAGCAUAAGGACAGAAGUUCACCAGGAGCAUGCCAGUAUAAACCAAAACGACCACAAAUCUCAACCAUAAAAUUUAAAGUAGUAAAGUAAAUAAUCAAGGGCAUGCAGUUGGCACAGGUGCUUCCAAAUAAAAUGAUGAUUCUUUUCAAACAGAAAAAAGAAAUGGAUGUUAAUAAACUAGAAGAAACCAUGUCUUACAAGUAAUUGAUAAUAUUCUGCUUCCCGUAGAAGCUCUAAAAACUCUGACUCUGUUAAUGUGGGGACAGCCCCAUCCCUUAACCAAUUCAGAAUAUGCCGAAAAUGUUUUCCGUCCCUAUCAACAAAGAUAUAGCCCUGCAAUAAUUCAAUAUGCUCAAAGAUAAGAAUCUGAAUAAUAUACCCAAGAGAAGUGCUUUUCCCUGGAAUAAUAAAAAGAAAAUAAGUCAAAACGUUUUUCUUAAUGGAAGAACACAAAGGAACAGCUCUAUGACUAACAUGAAAACCAUAAAUCAGAAUAAGAACCCAAAACUGGUCAUUUGGAGUUUCACCAGAUCAAAAAGAUCACAUGGAAAUAAAAUUGUGAAAAUGGGAUUAUUUAUGCCGAGGUCAUGGCUAAACUGCAAUCAUUACUCCAUUUUUGGUAGAAGGAGAAGAAGAAAGAAGAGUAGGUGAGUCAUCAUUCUUUCAGGUGAGUCAUCAUUCUUUCUCUGUGAUUAAUUGAUAUGAUGGAAGUGUUGUAGAUAUUAAUUUGAUAGUGAUUCCUCCCUUCAAAAGAAUUCAUUCCUUUUUUUAUUAUUUCACAAAGUUUAACUAAGACUGAGUUUUCUCAAUUUGAAGGCAUCGUGCACUCUACCCCUUUCUUUUCCUCACAUUGCUUCUUCCCAAUCCCAAAGGGAAGAAAUCAAGAAACAAUUACAAUUUUUAACUAUUCACCAGCAAAAACAAGGCAAAGAAAGAUGCUGAGUGUAAGCAAAAAUAAGAGAGUUAUACACCUCAGAGUCUUGGCACACAGUAUGGCGACCGCUGAACAUAGCUGCAAGCAUAGAUUCAGGCUCACGACGAGUCAGAGUAUCAAUUGUUGUAUAAAAUUUCUUUCCCCCUGGAUAUUAAUACAUAAAAUAUAAAUUUGUUCACUUAAAAGCAUGAAUUGUGCAAAUUUGUCAAUAAUGUCAUUCUUUCACAAACGUUCACCGAAAUGUAUAACAAUAAGUGCAUCAUAACAUAACUAAACGGCUUAAGAACUGCGCAGAUAUUACAUACAGUAGAGAAACAAGAAAUAGAAAAUGAGAUUUGCCCUUUUUAAACAGAAAGCAAUCAAAGAGUAAACUAAAGAGCUAAUAAUUCACAAAAUUCAGUUGAUUAAACUCAUUUACAAGUAAUUAGCAACAAAAUCCAAGCUAAAUAAAAAUAAUGAAAAUUAGGUUCUUAUAACAUCCGUCAAUUCUAUGAAAGUUUACCACGAUCAGCAACAAAUAGAUAAAUCGCAAUAAAGAAAAACCGACGACAUGUCGGUUGUGUAGUGCAUAAGUAAAGGAAUUUGCAGAUGAUGUAAAGAGAAUGAGGGAUAGUAACUGACCGAUGUUGAGACGAACCAUUGAAGACGAAUCGGAGUCCUUCGCCAUUGUCGAGUGUAAUGACUUGUCGUCUUACUUGCGCUCAUAGGUAUUUAUAUCAUAGCUGACACUGUUCGAAGGACAGCAAGGAUUUGGUGGGCACAAAUGCAUUUUGGAAAUUGGGCUUCGGCCCAAGAAAUCGAAAAUCAGAGGCUUUUUUUUAAAAAAAAUUUAAAAGGAUUAGAAUGUCUAUAAAUUAAUAGGGCUGAGACCAUCUUAAAUCUAUUAAGUAAAAGAGAUAUUAAAUAUUUUAUUAAUUAAUAAUUUAUUAAUUUACAGAAUUAUUUAUAAUUCAAUUAACAUACAUUUAAUAACUAAACAUUCAAUGUACAUAAUUUCUGAUUACAAUUCAAAGCACUAACAAUACUUCAUAAUUUCUUAUUACAAUUCAAGAAUUCAACCUCAUAGCUUUUAGAUGCAAUAAGAAAAAUAAGAAAUAAGAUUCAGUUAUAUUUAAAUUUUAAGAAAAAAACAAUAAAAUCAUAUUUUAUGUAAUUAAAAUAUCAUAGUCAACUACAUUUGUAAUUUCAACAAAUUAUUACUCUAUGAUUUAAAUGAGACCACAAAGUUAUAUAAGAUUUUAUCGAAAUUAUUAAUUUAAUCCAUUAGUCCAUGUCAAGACCUUGAAAAUUUAAUAAUUAUAUAAUAGAGAUUAUUAAUUUAUCGAGUAUUAAUUUAUAGAAGUUCUGAUUGUAUAUUAUUUUAUAUUAAUAAAGAAUAAAGUAGCAUUCUUUUUUAAUUCCGAAGUAAUAAAAUUAUGGCUAAAUUAAGAGAGUAGAUAUAUUUUAUAACUUGGUUUAAUAACAUCACGCGCCUCCCUUGUAGUUUUGCAGCUUUGAAGCUUUAUAAUGAAUCCUAUUAGCUUUGGCUGGAAAGUUAUAUUGUUAAAGAGAGUUUAUAUAUUAAACAAGGUGAUCUAAUAUUUCCAAAACUAAAUUUGGGAUCAAAAAUAGAAAACAUUUGCAUGUUUUUACCUUUUGGAAGAAUUACUUGAUAAGUGCUUCACAGAAAAAUGCUUGCUAUUAUAGAGCACCCUAAAAAAAAUCCUUAAUAAUUGAGGGAUCAUAAUAAAGUUCAAUUCUAAAUCUGUCAGAUAGAUCGAAAGUAACAAACCAUAUAUAUUUAAAUCUAUUUAGUAAUCCAGGGUUACAAGCCAAGCGUGCAAUAGCCAAUUCUGAAAAUCAAAGCUCAGCCUAUGCUCUCUGAGCACAAAUAAGAUCUGAUAUAUACAUAUCGAAUCCUCCAUUAUGUGGAGUGAAAUUUCCAUCGUGUACGGUGUACCUAACAAUGAGAAAGCAUGGCAGCAUAAAUUCAUCUUCCAUGUUAUUCUACUUAUUAGUACUGGUUCCCUCAUAACUUCUCCAAAUCGGGGAGGUCUGCAAUGUGUAAAGCACGUAAUCAGAUAAAAGAAAGAGAGCCAAAAAAAAAAAAAAAGGUAACAGCCAAAAGAUUAAAUUUCUUUGAGAAAUAGAAAAUGGGAGCUUUUGGCAUAGGCACAGAAUAGAAAGUAACAGAGUCAUUUACAGUUGUUCAGAAUAUGCAAGCUGAAAACAACUUUGAAUGCAAUGGACAAUUCCUCCAACAAACAAUCGAAUUGGAUUGUGGAAGAGACAAAAGCUUAAUGAGGUUAUGGUUUUGGCUAGGUGAACUCAAAAUUCUUUUAUAGACCAAGUAGGUAAAAACAAAUCCCAUAUAGAUGGAUGAACCUCAUACCAUGAACAGUUAAUCGCGAACACUUGCAGGCUUAUGCACACGACUAUGAAGAUACUAAGGGUUUCACCGAUGGUAAGUGAAAAAUAUAUGAUGUAUAAUUUAAAUGGAAGCACAUAGUUUCGGAUUGAAUUCAAGGUUAAAGUUCCACAGACAGACAGAAGAGAUGAAGCUUAAAAACUUACAGAGCAUUCCUUCAUCAUCACUGCUUUCAUCAUUUUGGCCAACAUGCUGAAAAAAGAAUAUGAUUCAAGUUAAAUGAUUGAGCAACAAUAAAAAACGUGCAAAAUUAAUGCUCUCUCCACAAAAAUUUCAGUCUAUAUUGGUAAGAAGAAACAGGAAGAAAAAAUUACCUCAGCAUCAUCGUCAUUGGAAGCCAAAUCAGCUGUAAAGACCACAAAAUGUUUGGUUAGAACCAGUGGAAGUCUUACUCUAAAAUUUUUAAUUUUUGAAUUUCGAAAGAUCUCGUAAUGACAAAGAUUUUCAUAUCCAGUGACCAAGUUUUGAAAAUUAGAAUACGGAAUGACAUCAACUAAAUUCACUAAUAUAAGCUAGAGGAAUCCCUAGUAGAUAUAGCGCACAUGCACACAUGAUAUGCAUCCGAAUACACAAUAAUAAAUUAUCUCAAAGUCAAUAAGAAGCCAAAAUUAGAGAUAAACUUUUAGCCACUAUAAGGAAGACUGAUAUUUGCAGUGUGAUUACAAUAAACAAACAGAAACUUCACUACCCAUAAGUAAAACAAAAUAAAUAAAGGAUAAUAACUAACCAAGAAAUGGAAAAGCUCACAUUCUCUGAACACGCACCCCAAAAAGAAAGAAAGAAAUAAAUGUUCUCAUUGGAUCUGAAGCACAAGCAAUCCACUGACAUCCUUCUAUAAUUAGGUAAUUUAAAGGGGUUAAGCUCACAUCUUUUACGGAAGUAAGAAGAGAAUUAACAACCUUCCAGAGGAUUUAGGGAAAUACCACGAGGCAAGAAAAAAGAAAUAUCCUUCUUCAAUCUAGAUAUCCUGAUACUGCUCACCAUCUACAACAGUCUGUGGCUUAAAAAGCAGGUCACUGAUCUCUCCCUCCCUCUGGCACCAUUUUCUCUCAUGUCUCAUUUUUCCCUUCCUGCCAACUCCCACUACAGUAUUGAAACCUAUUCUAUCAACUCUUCCCCCUCCAAUAACAAGACCAAAACCAAUUUUACUCGCCGGUUAGCUAGGUAGUAAAUGGAAAUUUGUGAAUCUGUCAUUCAUCCGUAGAAACAAACCAGAACUGCAUAAAUUCUCUUCUCUCCCAACAGCUUCUUUUCUCCAGAAAUAGGCACAAGUAUUUGACAUGGAAACAGUUUAUCUAACAUGGCCACCUUUAAAGACAAAGACAUACUAAGGACGUGGUUUUAGAUACGGAUACAAGAAACAAUCACAAAAUGUAAAAUCUAUACAUAUGAUAUUAAUUUCCAAUGGAUACAGCAAUUCAUUCUUUGACAUAACUUCAUCAGAUUACUAGGUUUGAUUAGGUUAUACACACAUUUAUUCAUUUAUUGAAUCUACAUGCACUUAGAAUGAGAGGUACCUAUAAAAACAAGUUACCAGAAAACAAUACAGCUAGAAAACAUUAAUCUAAGUAGUUCUAUAGGUUUAACUAACUGCAGGAAAAAACCAUUGAUUUUGUCCGCCAGAUUAUCGAGAUCCUAAUUCUGGUAAAAAGAAAAUGAGAUAAUAGAAAAUCAAAAAUUAAAUAGACACAAAAUGAGAAAUCAAGAUCAUAUGGCAACUAAUAUAUAGCAUGGGCUGCAGCUAACAAGCAAUAUAAGCCAUGAUAUUAUGCCAGAUACAAAUUUUGAGAUCCAAGAGAGAUCAAGAAGCAUGAAUACCACUAAAAUAUCGAAAGAAGUGAGUGCAGAAGGAUAAGAAAUCAGGUUGAUAUUCUUCAUACUUUGGAUCAACACGUAGUGAUGCAAUAAACUUGUAAUUAGCUUCAAAUGUAUAGGCUACCAUGUCAACAUUUCCGAAAACACACAAGAUUGUGCUGGAUUCAUACAUAGUACAUAUAUAAAAAAACAAUCUGCUUCUAAACUUCAUGAGAACAUCGAAUAAUGAACUUACAAUUUGAUCCCUCAUCAUCUUCAUCGCACCAUUUGUUCCAAUCAACCUUAAUGUAAGGUGCUGGUUUCUCUUCUGACUUGAGUAGCCUUUUCCACCAACCUUUCUCUUCUUUUUGGACCGAGCAUAUUAUGUUCCUUAAGCCAACUUUAGUCUUACAUUUCUGCACCACCAGCAACAAAACUCAAAGCAUUACAAAAGAGGUAUAUUUAGCCGCUCUUGACUCGAGUGAGAGAACAGGAUAAAUAGCCUAGGUAUAUCCACAUCCAUGUUAUGAGAUUGAUUAUGCAACAGCUAACUUUAAUAUAAAGCUUUUGCUUCAACAAAGACUAAAAUGUUUGUAAUUGUUAUGCUUUUGGAGCUAAAAUGUUUGGCAAACACCCACUUUUACUCUGCACCUAAUAUCUACCACCCACCCACACACUAAGUCUCUCGUUUGGUACAGCUAUUUAUCAGUAGUGGCUUUAAGCCACAACAUUUAAAGCGAAUUUACCCUAAAAUUUUACAAUGAAAAACCUAUACUACCUUUAACAUUGUUGUCAAAAUUAUUAUUAUAAGUAAUAUUUACCAAACACUAUCAACUUCCAAUUCAUAUCAAAGAGCUUUCACUCCACAAUAGCCGUGUCUUCUUAAGCCAGAACAACACAAUACCAAAGGCCUUAAGCUAGUGAUUUGAUUUCACAACAACUGCAGAUCAAGCCUCAAUCCCAAACAUACAUAAAUCAAAUGCAGAAAGCAAAAAUUUAACAAUAUGUUUGGUAUACUAAAUGUCUUUCAUAGUUUCAUUUCACAGGGUAUUUAGACAUGCAAUGAUAAAUUGGAGCAAUUUCAAGAACCGAAUUGACCUCAGGUAAAAUUUUGCCAAAAAGUUCCAAGCUGAAGUCGUAAAGCUCGCCUUGGACUCCGACGGCCGAGAAGCCAAAAAUCCCCUGAGGCUCGCAUUUCACAGAAAUGUCUUUCGCAUCGGGUAAUGAAAUGGUAAGGUAUACUUUAUCGGAGCGCUGAGCCCAAAGAACCUCCGGAUGGCGACUGAACAUAAAAGAAAUAAUAAUAAUAAUAAUAUUAUUAUUUUUUAUUGUGACAAUUUUGAACUAAUAAUUAGAGACAUUUAACAACAAUAUUGAUUAAUAUUGGAGAAGAAAAAUAAGGUUACAAGAGAGAAUCAGAAAGAUUACCUCAUUCUGGUGGAUGAUUGAAAACGGUGGGUCGAUUGAUGAACAGAAGUGUAACUGUCUGGGAGUGAGAGUGACUCUGCUGUUUACUGGGUAGAGUGUGCUUACUCGAAGAAAUUGAAAGUGAUAAUCUCGGGCAAGCCAACACGUCGAUUUGGUCAACAGUGGUCCAACAAACCAGGAACUAGGUUUUUUUUUUUAAAUGAUUUUUUUUUUCAGUAUUAUAUUGCCCCGCCCGUGGGCUAUUACAUUUUGGCCCUUUUGGGGACCCCUCGUUCUCUUACAAGAAGGGAAUAUUCUUUUCCAUCCACCGGUUUGUAGGCAGAGUACAUAUACUCUUCGAAAUUAAGGACAAAUUUCUGAAUCGUGCCGCAUUAGAAUUAAAUUGAGUCUCAAAAGAAUUUUGGUUAUAAGUAUAUCGUUCAAACGGUAAUAUAUUAAAAAAAAUAAUAUUUACUACAAUGUAGACCUAUCGGGACUUUGAAGCCCAGACCAAUUCUUGAGUCUAGCCUAAUAACACCUCAACAGAUCAAAAUUGAAAUCCAACUUAAAUUUCAAUAUUGUGUAGGGAUCUGCCUUAAUUUAGAUAUGUCAAGACCUGCCUUAGGCAUCAAAGUGAUCUAUCUUAACAUAACUAAGACUUUCUUUAAACAUCACAAUGAUUUAUCUUAACGUAGUCAAAUCUAGCCUAAAAAAAUCUAAAGAAGGAAAAAAGAAAUUAUUUUCACGUAUUGAGAGACUUAAAUUCUUAACCUUAUUCAUAAGAAAAAAAAGUGUAUUACUUAACUAAAUCGUGACUAAAAAUUAUAAUUAUUAUUUUUUGUACAUUUAGCUUUAAAAAAUCAUUAUAUAUAUAUAUUCAUAUAAGUUUUGACAUAAUAUACAUACCACUUAUUUGUUUUUUAAAUUAUACGAGAAUGAAAAAACUCAAGCAUUAAACACCAACUUUUGUUUCAUGCUAUCAAUCAACUUGAGAAAUUUUAUAAUAUAUCGGAAGUUCUACGUCACAAUUUAAUACGAAGCCUUCGAUUAAUAAUAAUUAGACACAUGACAAUAGAUGCUAGAGAAAUUUUAAAUUCCCUCUUUUCAUUAUCCCUCCAAAUUUAGAAUUUCAAAAAAUUAGAGAAUAAAUGUUGCUUGCUCUCUUUGUUAUCUAAUUCUAAUUAUUAUUUUUUUCUCUCUCUCUCCAAUCAAGUUGCUAGCAUUUUUUAAAUCUAUUGAAGAAUAAGAAGAAGGUUUUUGUCGAUGAAAUGAUUUUGGCAGCCUUUUUUACCCAAAGCUAACAUGAUUGCUGCGACUACCAAUGAAGAAAAAGAUGUGUUUUGCUGGCGAAGAAGAUGAUUUUUGAAGCAUGAGUGGCUGCCGUUUAUUUUUUUCCUUCAUAUUUUUCGAUGUAGUGGCUGUCCUCAAGUUUUAUUCAUUUACUUUUCAGUUGGCCUACUAUUUAUUGGCAUAAUGAAAAAUUUUAUUUUAAUAAGCAUUUAUAGAUUAAUUUGAGGAG
This 18147-nucleotide long non-coding RNA is filed under the name Citrus sinensis (sweet orange). RNAcentral's name for it is "long non-coding RNA (CSIN_LNC002323)". The record is from RNAcentral. Lineage: Eukaryota; Viridiplantae; Streptophyta; Magnoliopsida; Sapindales; Rutaceae.